Molecule: ribosomal RNA, 254 nt
Filed under: uncultured bacterium
Lineage: Bacteria
Description: partial 16S ribosomal RNA
Rfam family: Bacterial small subunit ribosomal RNA
Source: RNAcentral
UACGGGGGGGAGCAAGCGUUGUUCGGAUUUACUGGGCGUAAAGGGUGCGCAGGUGGGUUGGCAAGUUUGAUGUGAAAGCCCCGGGCUUAACCCGGGAAUGGCAUUGAAUACUGCUGAUCUGGAGGAUUGGAGGGGGGACUGGAAUUCUUGGUGUAGCAGUGAAAUGCGUAGAUAUCAAGAGGAACACCAGUGGCGAAGGCGAGUCCCUGGACAAUACCUGACACUGAGGCACGAAAGCCAAGGGAGCAAACAGG